CAGUAGCCACGGGAAUACGAAGGGGGCUAGCGUUGUUCGGAAUUACUGGGCGUAAAGCGCACGUAGGCGGAUUGUUAAGUUAGGGGUGAAAUCCCAGGGCUCAACCCUGGAACUGCCUUUAAUACUGGCAACCUCGAGUCCGAGAGAGGUGAGUGGAAUUCCGAGUGUAGAGGUGAAAUUCGUAGAUAUUCGGAGGAACACCAGUGGCGAAGGCGGCUCACUGGCUCGGUACUGACGCUGAGGUGCGAAAGCGUGGGGAGCAAACAGGAUUAGAUACCCCUGUAGUCCCUGUCUCUUAUAC
RNAcentral lists this ribosomal RNA (301 nucleotides) under uncultured bacterium. Its description in RNAcentral is "partial 16S ribosomal RNA". It matches the Rfam family "Bacterial small subunit ribosomal RNA", at positions 509 to 807 of the family's 1533-position model. The record is from RNAcentral.